CGUGGAAUCACCCUACAGAAGAGGCCAGCUAUAAAGGAUGUCUCACACCUUUAAGAUCAGUGUUUCUCAAUGUGUGGACCAUGGAUACCUGUAUUAGAAUACCCAAAGGAUUUGUUUAAAAUUCAGGCUGAGCCCUUCCCAAGACCUAAUAGAGCUAAAAGCUUUGGGAGUAGGUGGAGGAAACCUGCAUCUUUACCCAGCAAUCCAGGCAAGAUGAUGAUGAAUGAAGUCCUGGCAGCUUCCUGUGUCCCAGGCCUUGUAGAAAUAAAUGAGACAGACGUGCUUCAAAGUUCUAAUGUGCAUCACAUCGGAUCUUGUUUAAGGAAGCGUUAAAAGGAACCCGCCGUUACCUAUUGAGAAGGCUCUGUGCUCUCAGGCAUUGUUUCUGAUUGAAUCCAGAGGUUGCAAGCAUGCCUUCCUGUAUUACCUGUUGGAGCAGGUUUAAUUUUAUAAAUUUUAAACACAAACUCUAUGAGUUUCUAGUUCAUAAUUGUUCUUUUUGGGGAUCCACUCAGAUGAACAGUAUUGCAUCUGUAAGAGAUACCCACUUCCCAGGACCAGAUUUGAUUGGAAUAUCAGUGGCAACAGACUCC
This 593-nucleotide long non-coding RNA is filed under the name Pan troglodytes (chimpanzee). RNAcentral's name for it is "long non-coding RNA NONPTRT014874". The record is from RNAcentral. Lineage: Eukaryota; Metazoa; Chordata; Mammalia; Primates; Hominidae.